UACAGAGGUGGCAAGCGUUGUUCGGAAUUACUGGGCGUAAAGGGCGCGUAGGCGGUCUUGUCAGUCCCUUGUGAAAUCCCCCGGCUCAACUGGGGAACUGCACGGGAAACAGCAGGGCUUGAGUUCGGGAGAGGGAAGCGGAAUUCCAGGUGUAGCGGUGAAAUGCGUAGAUAUCUGGAGGAACACCGGUGGCGAAGGCGGCAUCCUGGACCGGUAUUGACGCUGAGGCGCGAAAGCCAGGGGAGCAAACGGG
This 253-nucleotide ribosomal RNA is filed under the name uncultured bacterium. RNAcentral's name for it is "partial 16S ribosomal RNA". It matches the Rfam family "Bacterial small subunit ribosomal RNA", at positions 524 to 776 of the family's 1533-position model. The record is from RNAcentral.